ACGUAGGGGGCAAGCGUUAUCCGGAUUUACUGGGUGUAAAGGGAGCGUAGGCGGUCUGACAAGUCAGAAGUGAAAGCCCGGGGCUCAACCUCGGGACUGCUUUUGAAACUGCCGGACUAGAUUGCAGGAGAGGUAAGUGGAAUUCCUAGUGUAGCGGUGAAAUGCGUAGAUAUUAGGAGGAACACCAGUGGCGAAGGCGGCUUACUGGACUGUAAAUGACGCUGAGGCUCGAAAGCGUGGGGAGCAAACAG
Molecule: ribosomal RNA, 251 nt
Filed under: uncultured bacterium
Lineage: Bacteria
Description: partial 16S ribosomal RNA
Rfam family: Bacterial small subunit ribosomal RNA
Source: RNAcentral